GUCUGCGGCAGCCACGUGUUCACAGUGAUGUUGCUCUUUGCUCCUUUAAUGUUGGCUCUCCCUAUCAUUGUGGAGCAGAGUUCACCAAGCACUGGAUUGUUCGCCCACUAAUAGGGAAUGUGAGCUGGGUUUAGACCAUCGUGAGACAGGUU
RNAcentral lists this non-coding RNA (152 nucleotides) under Ovis aries (sheep). RNAcentral's name for it is "Eukaryotic large subunit ribosomal RNA". It matches the Rfam family "Eukaryotic large subunit ribosomal RNA", at positions 2833 to 2984 of the family's 3401-position model. The record is from Rfam by way of RNAcentral. Lineage: Eukaryota; Metazoa; Chordata; Mammalia; Artiodactyla; Bovidae.